This is a long non-coding RNA of Acanthochromis polyacanthus (spiny chromis), 1094 nucleotides long. RefSeq lists it as uncharacterized. The transcript has 4 exons. The record is from RefSeq and is a predicted model, not a curated record. Lineage: Eukaryota; Metazoa; Chordata; Actinopteri; Pomacentridae.
AUUAGAAGCAGCUAGAGCUCCGUUAUGCAGCUACAAGAACAGACUGUUGGGUGCUUAAGGCUAAACAUGAAGCUUCAGCGUGGGCGCACAUUUCCAGGGGCUCUUUGUAAAUUGGUUGGAUCCAAACCGGAAAUAUGGGAUGAAUAUUUGGAUGCAGUGAUGUUUGGGCUGCGAACAAAGAAGCAAACAACAAGAAGUCUCCCCAUAUUUUUUAAUGUUUGGUCGGGAAGCCCGCUACCCUACAGAAAUCCCAGAGGACUUUCAGACGGACAGCAGUGUGGAGGAAAUUGUGGGAGAGGAGACCGUACCGGAAGACAUUAGGCGGCUUGACGAGGUCAGGGCCAUCGUCAUGGAGAAUGUCUCCAAAUCGCAACGUAAGCAGACAAUGCAUUCCAGAGGCAGCAAAGUCAGCUUUGCAGUUGGAGAUAAAGUUUGGCGGCAAAUUGUAAGGAACCAGCAACGUAAGGGUGGGAAGUUGGAGUCCAAUUUUCUUGGCCCCUUCACCAUCACGGCAGUGGAGGGGAAAAGCACUGAUCUGCUUGGGGACGAUGGGACAGUUUUUUAAAAAAUUAACACUGACCACUUGAAGCACUUCGGGCAGCAAACUAUGCGGAUUCCUCACAGGACCGACCGCCACACCUGUUGCCUCAGGAGGAACUGCUGCAUACACAGAUGCAGAAACCCAAAAAUAUCUAGAUGCAUUGUGGACUGGGAAGCAUUCCAGUGACCAGGUGAUUCUCUCCAAAAUUGGAAAUUACAAAUUGUUUUGCUGGGACCUUGCCAGGAUUGCUCCUGACCAAGAGCUGCAGAGUGAGGUAAAAAAAAUCUUGCAUUUUUGCAUUAUUGACUCUCGCUGCAUUAGAGCUUGUUUGAAUUGAAAGUACUGAUCUAAGAAUGUUUGGAUAAUUUGUGUAUGUGGUGCUUCAGUAGUUGCUCCAGCUAGGGACUACAGGGCCGUAUUUUUAUCAUUGCAGUAUAUAAAUCAGUGUUUUAAAUGUGUGGUUUGGAAAUGCACAAAAUCUUAGAUCGUUUUCUUCUUCCAAGGUGAUCAAUGCCUACCUCAUCUUGGUUGUCCAACAGUACAACCAAAAAAA